AUCCUGGCUCAGGAUGAACGCUAGCUACAGGCUUAACACAUGCAAGUCGAGGGGCAGCAUGGUCUUAGCUUGCUAAGGCCGAUGGCGACCGGCGCACGGGUGAGUAACACGUAUCCAACCUGCCGUCUACUCUUGGACAGCCUUCUGAAAGGAAGAUUAAUACAAGAUGGCAUCAUGAGUAAGCAUUUUCGCAUGAUUAAAGGUUUACCGGUGUAAGAUGGGGAUGCGUUCCAUUAGAUAGUAGGCGGGGUAACGGCCCACCUAGUCUUCGAUGGAUAGGGGUUCUGAGAGGAAGGCCCCCCACAUUGGAACUGAGACACGGUCCAAACUCCUACGGGAGGCAGCAGUGAGGAAUAUUGGUCAAUGGACGAGAGUCUGAACCAGCCAAGUAGCGUGAAGGAUGAAGGUCCUACGGAUUGUAAACUUCUUUUAUAAGGGAAUAAACCCUCCCACGUGUGGGAGCUUGUAUGUACCUUAUGAAUAAGCAUCGGCUAACUCCGUG
This 502-nucleotide ribosomal RNA is filed under the name uncultured bacterium. RNAcentral describes it as "bacterial SSU rRNA". It matches the Rfam family "Bacterial small subunit ribosomal RNA", at positions 16 to 507 of the family's 1533-position model. The record is from RNAcentral.